This 600-nucleotide ribosomal RNA is filed under the name uncultured bacterium. RNAcentral describes it as "bacterial SSU rRNA". It matches the Rfam family "Bacterial small subunit ribosomal RNA", at positions 82 to 678 of the family's 1533-position model. The record is from RNAcentral.
GGUCUGGUGGCGAGUGGCGAACGGGUGAGUAAUGUAUCGGAACGUGCCCAGUAGCGGGGGAUAACUACGCGAAAGCGUAGCUAAUACCGCAUACGCCCUACGGGGGAAAGCAGGGGAUCGCAAGACCUUGCACUAUUGGAGCGGCCGAUAUCGGAUUAGCUAGUUGGUGGGGUAACGGCUCACCAAGGCGACGAUCCGUAGCUGGUUUGAGAGGACGACCAGCCACACUGGGACUGAGACACGGCCCAGACUCCUACGGGAGGCAGCAGUGGGGAAUUUUGGACAAUGGGGGAAACCCUGAUCCAGCCAUCCCGCGUGUGCGAUGAAGGCCUUCGGGUUGUAAAGCACUUUUGGCAGGAAAGAAACGUCAUGGGUUAAUACCCCGUGAAACUGACGGUACCUGCAGAAUAAGCACCGGCUAACUACGUGCCAGCAGCCGCGGUAAUACGUAGGGUGCAAGCGUUAAUCGGAAUUACUGGGCGUAAAGCGUGCGCAGGCGGUUCGGAAAGAAAGAUGUGAAAUCCCAGAGCUUAACUUUGGAACUGCAUUUUUAACUACCGGGCUAGAGUGUGUCAGAGGGAGGUGGAAUUCCGCGUGUAG